GACGAAGGGGGCUAGCGUUGUUCGGAAUUACUGGGCGUAAAGGGCUCGUAGGCGGCCAACUAAGUCAGACGUGAAAUCCCUCGGCUUAACCGGGGAACUGCGUCUGAUACUGGAUGGCUUGAGAUUGGGAGAGGGAUGCGGAAUUCCAGGUGUAGCGGUGAAAUGCGUAGAUAUCUGGAGGAACACCGGUGGCGAAGGCGACAUCCUGGACCAACACUGACGCUGAGGAGCGAAAGCGUGGGGAGCAAACAGG
RNAcentral lists this ribosomal RNA (253 nucleotides) under uncultured bacterium. RNAcentral describes it as "partial 16S ribosomal RNA". It matches the Rfam family "Bacterial small subunit ribosomal RNA", at positions 524 to 776 of the family's 1533-position model. The record is from RNAcentral.